This 356-nucleotide ribosomal RNA is filed under the name Gammaproteobacteria bacterium. Its description in RNAcentral is "bacterial SSU rRNA". It matches the Rfam family "Bacterial small subunit ribosomal RNA", at positions 1 to 375 of the family's 1533-position model. Lineage: Bacteria; Pseudomonadati; Pseudomonadota; Gammaproteobacteria. The record is from RNAcentral.
AACUUGAGAGUUUGAUCCUGGCUCAGAACGAACGCUGGCGGCAGGCCUAACACAUGCAAGUCGAACGCGAAACUUCCUUCGGGAAGAGGUAGAGUGGCAAACGGGUGAGUAACACGUGGGAACGUACCCGGCAGUACGGAAUAGCUCAGGGAAACCUGGGGUAAUACCGUAUACGCCCUGCGGGGGAAAGAUUUAUCGCUGUCGGAGCGGCCCGCGGCGGAUUAGCUUGUUGGUGGGGUAACGGCCCACCAAGGCGACGAUCCGUAGCUGGUCUGAGAGGAUGAUCAGCCACACUGGGACUGAGACACGGCCCAGACUCCUACGGGAGGCAGCAGUGGGGAAUAUUGGACAAUGGG